Molecule: ribosomal RNA, 429 nt
Filed under: Verrucomicrobiota bacterium
Lineage: Bacteria; Pseudomonadati; Verrucomicrobiota
Description: Verrucomicrobia bacterium partial 16S ribosomal RNA
Rfam family: Bacterial small subunit ribosomal RNA
Source: RNAcentral
UAGGGAAUCUUCCGCAAUGGACGAAAGUCUGACGGAGCAACGCCGCGUGAGUGAAGAAGGAUUUCGGUUCGUAAAACUCUGUUGUUAGGGAAGAAAAAAUGUAUAGUAACUAUAUACAAAAGAGACGGUACCUAACCAGAAAGCCACGGCUAACUACGUGCCAGCAGCCGCGGUAAUACGUAGGUGGCAAGCGUUGUCCGGAAUUAUUGGGCGUAAAGCGCGAGCAGGUGGUUUAGAAAGUCUGAUGUGAAAGCCCACGGCUCAACCGUGGAGGGUCAUUGGAAACUAAUAAACUUGAGUGCAGGAGAGAAAAGUGGAAUUCCUAGUGUAGCGGUGAAAUGCGUAGAGAUUAGGAGGAACACCGGUGGCGAAAGCGGCUUUUUGGCCUGCAACUGACACUGAGGCGCGAAAGCGUGGGGAGCAAACAGG